This 376-nucleotide ribosomal RNA is filed under the name uncultured bacterium. RNAcentral's name for it is "bacterial SSU rRNA". It matches the Rfam family "Bacterial small subunit ribosomal RNA", at positions 523 to 898 of the family's 1533-position model. The record is from RNAcentral.
AUACGUAGGGGGCGAGCGUUGUCCGGAGUUAUUGGGCGUAAAGGGCGUGUAGGCGGCCUGUUAAGUCAGGUGUGAAAUUUCAGGGCUUAACCCUGAAACUGCGUUUGAAACUGGCAGGCUUGAGGACAGGAGAGGGAAGUGGAAUUCCCGGUGUAGCGGUGGAAUGCGUAGAUAUCGGGAGGAACACCAGUGGCGAAGGCGGCUUCCUGGACUGUACCUGACGCUGAGGCGCGAAAGCUAGGGGAGCAAACAGGAUUAGAUACCCUGGUAGUCCUAGCCGUAAACGAUGAGUGCUAGGUGUGGGGGGUUAAAAUCCCCCCGUGCCGGAGUUAACGCAAUAAGCACUCCGCCUGGGGAGUACGGCCGCAAGGCUAAA